RNAcentral lists this long non-coding RNA (669 nucleotides) under Homo sapiens (human). RNAcentral describes it as "non-protein coding lnc-GRHL3-2:1". Lineage: Eukaryota; Metazoa; Chordata; Mammalia; Primates; Hominidae. The record is from RNAcentral.
UCUGGGUGGUAAGAUUUUUAUUUUUAGAUUAAAUUGACAAUACAGAGAAAUGCAGAUCUUUAGUGUACAAUUCAGUGAAUUUUGGCAAAUGUAUUCACCCAUGAAAUUACCACUGGAAUGAAGAUCAAGAACAUUUUCAUACCCCCAAAACCCCUUCUAAUCAAUCCUCACUCCCCAAAGGCAACCACAGUUCUGUUUUUUCCCCACAAUAGUUUUGCCUGUUCUUAACCUUCAUAUAAAUGGAAUCAUUCAGAAUGUCCCCUUCUUGUGUCUGGCUUCUUUCAUUUAACAUGGGUGAUAAGGUUUGAGCUGAGCCUGAAAGCACUGCUAGGGUUGAAUAAGCAACAAUGGAGGCAGGGGAGAAAAGGUGAGGUAUAGAGAAUAGCUUGAGAAAGAAAAGGAGACGGAUAAAGUGAAUUGGGGACUGGUGUGACUAGAGUAAGGGGUACCCAAUGGGGAAGAGAAAGAAGGAUGGAAAGCUAGGUUGGAGCUUUGUUUUGCAGAGUUUUCAAUGCCAGGACAAAGGCAUGUAGACUUUAUCCUGAAGGCAACAGGGAGCCAGCCAGGGAACAGAAGAGUGGACUGAUGAGAUCUGGGUUUUGAGGAGAUAUAUAUGUGGCCACAGCAGGUAGAUACAAUGAAGUUCAGAAAGUCUGGAGGCCUGGAGAC